GACGAACGCUGGCGGCGCGCCUAACACAUGCAAGUCGAGCGAUGAAAUUUUAACCGCUCUUUUCGGAGAGAAGAUAAAAUGGAUUAGCGGCGGACGGGUGAGUAACACGUGAGAAACCUGCCUUUCACAAGGGGAUAGCCUCGGGAAACCGGGAUUAAUACCCUAUGACACAUUUCCUUCGCAUGGAAGAAAUGUUAAAACUCCGGUGGUGAAAGAUGGUCUCGCGCCUGAUUAGCUAGUUGGUGGGGUAACGGCCCACCAAGGCCAUGAUCAGUAACCGGCCUGAGAGGGUGAACGGUCACAUUGGAACUGAGACACGGUCCAAACUCCUACGGGAGGCAGCAGUGGGGAAUAUUGCACAAUGGAGGAAACUCUGAUGCAGCGACGCCGCGUGAGCGAUGAAGGCUUUCGAGUCGUAAAGCUCUGUCCUAUGGGAAGAUAAUGACGGUACCAUAGGAGGAAGCCCCGGCUAACUACGUG
Molecule: ribosomal RNA, 480 nt
Filed under: uncultured bacterium
Lineage: Bacteria
Description: partial 16S ribosomal RNA
Rfam family: Bacterial small subunit ribosomal RNA
Source: RNAcentral